Molecule: ribosomal RNA, 771 nt
Filed under: uncultured Planctomycetales bacterium
Lineage: Bacteria; Pseudomonadati; Planctomycetota; Planctomycetia; Planctomycetales
Description: bacterial SSU rRNA
Rfam family: Bacterial small subunit ribosomal RNA
Source: RNAcentral
GAUGGCUCAGAUUGAACGCUUGGCGGCAUGGCUAAAACAUGCAAGUCGAACGCGAAAAUGGAGCUUGCUCCAUGAGUAGAGUGGCGAAAGGGCGAGUAAUGCGUUCCUAACGUGCCUCGAAGCCAGGGAUAGCCCAGGGAAACCUGGAUUAAUACCUGAUAACCCCGUUGAACCGCAUGAUUUGACGGGCAAAGGCUUGCUACUUCGAGAUCGGGGAACGUGCUAUCAGCUUGUUGGUGAGGUAAAAGCUCACCAAGGCUAAGACGGCUAGCGGGUGUGAGAGCACGGCCCGCCGCAUCGGGACUGAGACACUGCCCGGACUCCUACGGGAGGCUGCAGUAACGAAUAUUCCGCAAUGCGCGAAAGCGUGACGGAGCAAUGCCGCGUGUGGGAUGAAGCAUCUCGGUGUGUAAACCACUGUCAGGGUACAGGAACACAAUGACCAUACCCAAAGGAAGAGCCGGCUAACUCUGUGCCAGCAGCCGCGGUAAUACAGAGGGCUCAAGCGUUAAUCGGAAUUACUGGGCUUAAAGCGUGCGUAGGCGGAAUGGCAAGUGCCUUGUGAAAUCCCACGGCUUAACCGUGGAAUUGCUCGGUAGACUGCCAUUCUUGAGGUCGGUAGAAGUUGUCGGAACUCUAGGUGUGGCGGUGAAAUGCGUAGAUAUCUAGAGGAACGCCCAAGGUGAAGACAGGCAACCGGGCCGAAUCUGACGCUGAGGCACGAAAGCGUGGGUAGCGAACGGGAUUAGAUACCCCGGUAGUCCACGCCCU